AAAGCUUGCUUUUCCGCUGACGAGUGGCGCACGGGUGCGUAACGCGUAUAGAACCUACCUUUUACUAGGAAAUAGCCCAUGGAAACGUGGAUUAAUGUCCCAUAAUAACAUUUAAUGGCAUCAUUUGAAUGUUUAAAGCUUCGGCGGUAGAAGAUGGCUAUGCGUCCCAUUAGUUAGUAGGCGAGGUAACGGCUCACCUAGGCUUCGAUGGGUAGGGGCCCUGAGAGGGGGAUCCCCCACACUGGUACUGAGACACGGACCAGACUCCUACGGGAGGCAGCAGUGAGGAAUAUUGGACAAUGGACGAAAGUCUGAUCCAGCCAUGCCGCGUGCAGGAAGACGGCCCUACGGGUUGUAAACUGCUUUUAUACGGGAAGAAUAAGGAGUACGUGUACUCCGAUGACGGUACCGUAAGAAUAAGGACCGGCUAACUCCGUGCCAGCAGCCGCGGUAAUACGGAGGGUCCGAGCGUUAUCCGGAAUCAUUGGGUUUAAAGGGUCCGCAGGCGGGCAAUUAAGUCAGGGGUGAAAGGCUGUGGCUCAACCAUAGCAUUGCCUUUGAUACUGGUUGUCUUGAGUUAUAGUGAAGUGGCCGGAAUAUGUAGUGUAGCGGUGAAAUGCAUAGAUAUUACAUAGAACACCGAUUGCGAAGGCAGGUCACUAACUAUUGACUGACGCUGAUGGACGAAAGCGUGGGGAGCGAACGGGAUUAGAUACCCCGGUAGUCCACGCCGUAAACGAUGGAUACUAGCUGUCGGGCUUUCGGGCUCGGCGGCCAAGCGAAAGUGAUAAGUAUCCCACCUGGGGAGUACGUUCGCAAGAAUGAAACUCAAAGGAAUUGACGGGGGCCCGCACAAGCGGUGGAGCAUGUGGUUUAAUUCGAUGAUACGCGAGGAACCUUACCAGGGCUUAAAUGCAGAAUGACAGGACCAGAGACGGUUUUUUCUUCGGACAUUUUGCAAGGUGCUGCAUGGUUGUCGUCAGCUCGUGCCGUGAGGUGUCAGGUUAAGUCCUAUAACGAGCGCAACCCCUGUCGUCAGUUGCCAACAGAUAAUGCUGGGGACUCUGGCGAGACUGCCGGUGCAAACCGCGAGGAAGGUGGGGAUGACGUCAAAUCAUCACGGCCCUUACGUCCUGGGCUACACACGUGCUACAAUGGCCGAUACAGUGAGCAGCCAUCCGGCAACGGAGAGCGAAUCUAUAAAAUCGGUCACAGUUCGGAUCGGGGUCUGCAACUCGACCCCGUGAAGCUGGAAUCGCUAGUAAUCGGAUAUCAGCCAUGAUCCGGUGAAUACGUUCCCGGGCCUUGUACACACCGCCCGUCAAGCCAUGGAAGCCGGGGGUAC
Molecule: ribosomal RNA, 1345 nt
Filed under: Zeaxanthinibacter sp. MAR_2010_153
Lineage: Bacteria; Pseudomonadati; Bacteroidota; Flavobacteriia; Flavobacteriales; Flavobacteriaceae
Description: bacterial SSU rRNA
Rfam family: Bacterial small subunit ribosomal RNA
Source: RNAcentral